CUCCUCUUGCUCCCCACGAUUACCCAAAAAGGGAGAGCUGCGCAGGCGCAGAGGCUCGAUGCCGGUGACCAGGAGUCAGGCUGUGGCCCGCACUGUCCUCGCCCUGCGGGGCGGAGGAAGACCAAAGGAAGCUGAGGCUUGGCGCCAGGCUCCGUCCGAGUGCGGUAGGCUGGCCUGGCCCCCGGCCAGGGACAACCUCCGGGACCCUUGACCAUACUGGACAGCGCAGUGACCACUGUCGCCCGCGCAAGCGUCAGUCGGUGGUUUUUGGCUGGUGACGUCUGCCCUGCCGCAGGGCGGGCACGAGGGUCCGGAUGCCCUUCCUCAGCUGGCCACGCCCGCCCGCAGCCUGUGGCACGUAGCACGGGGUGACCCCGCUGCUCUCUCCGGUUCCCUCCCCCUACGACUGCCUUCCCGUCAGCACAGGAGCGAGGCCCGGUCAGGGCUCGGGAUUCUCUGCUUACAGCGUUUGCUACGGGUGGUGACAGAGCCCUGGGGACUGGAUGAAUGAAGUUCAGAAGCAGAGACGCUGGAGACAAAGCCCCCCUUUCUGUGAAGGCCAGGAGUGCUGCUGCUGACAGCCUGGGGCCGCAUGGGGGGGCUCUGGGGAGCGCACACGCCAGUCACAGACCACAGGCCCUGAGGACGCACAGGUGGGGAUGGACGCUGCGGGCUGUGAGGGCAGAGGAGCUCCCACUCCAGCUAGCCCUAGAAUGGCCAACGUGGGGCUGGGGGCUUCCUCUCACA
Non-coding RNA from Manis javanica (Malayan pangolin), 747 nucleotides. The record is from RefSeq and is a predicted model, not a curated record. NCBI's taxonomy places the organism in Eukaryota, Metazoa, Chordata, Mammalia, Pholidota, Manidae.